Ciona intestinalis (vase tunicate) is the source of this 1623-nucleotide non-coding RNA. The record is from RefSeq and is a predicted model, not a curated record. Lineage: Eukaryota; Metazoa; Chordata; Ascidiacea; Phlebobranchia; Cionidae.
CACCUGAAAUCAAACAUACUGGGGAUAAAAGUAGCUCCAAACUUUUUAUGUUUUAAAUUUGCUACAGAAUUCACUCUUGGUUAAAAAAAGACUGACAAAACCAAUAUAAAAGUAGUUAGUGGUUUAUAGAGUAAUUUUGCUAACUUGUAAAGAAAAAAUAUAUAUUUCCGCUGAAAAUCCGCACCAAAAUAUUGUGAAAAAGUAUUCCUGGCACAUUUACUUAAAACACCAUACAUUUUUUACGCAGAGAUUAUACAAACAAGCAAUUAUUUAAGCUGCAACUGGCUGAACAAUUAUAAGUUAAUGGAUGCGUGCUCACAUUAGCAUAACUUUAAAAUAAACGUUAUUAGUUAGAACUCACGUCGUGUAUACUACCUUAAACCUAUACACUAAAUAUUAGAUAAAUAGUUUAAAUUUAACCUUGUGCCUCGCUUUAACUUUGCAAUGUUAAUUUUUUGACAAUGAUCCAUAAGCACGGGCUAGGUAAACAGAUCUACAACUGUUACCUACGAUCCAUAAGCACGAGUAAAGAGCAUAGCAAAUCACAUGACAAGAAUAUCGGAAACGUCAAAUGAAGGAAGCAAUCGCGUUUGCAAACUUGAUUUUCUGUAGAACUUACAAAUGAAUCGUUGUUUUCGCUUUAGUUUUCUAUGAAAAUUGAGCCGACAGCGCAGACAGUGUUUGCGCAUCGCAAGCGUGUUUUUGCAGUGUUUACAGUCAAAAGCAGUUGAAUUUAUAAAUCAAAAAAUGUUUAAACCGGCUAUAAAGAAGUUUAAAUAAACAGAUAAGGGCCAUUGCAACAACCACUGCUGUUUUUCCUUUUUUUAUUCUUGACAGUUAGCGUGUUUUUGCACUUUUGAAAAAUUCGAUGCGAGAUCACACGAUCAUUAGUCUGUUGCAAUGAGCCAUUUUUGUCAUUGAAACGACUUUGAACGGGUCUAAUUAGUUUUCCCCUUGUGGUUCAUACAAGUAACUGCUUUUGAUUGUAGGUACCGCAGUGUAUAGGUUUUGGAUGCUUUUUUAUUUGCACAAAAACUAAAUUAAUUGACGAUGAUCGUAUCGCAUAAUGUACCAACAUAACUUUGCCAUCUAGUAUUUGUUCAAUCUUCAAGGAAAACUGAAGCGAAAACGACGAUUCAUUUGCAACAGAGUCCGUAUAGGCUAUAAACACAAUUUUUACGUUUAAGUUAUACUUUAAGCUUAUAAUGCUUCCAGACAUGCCUACACAAAACAGCAAGAACCUUUUUUGUUAGGGCACAACGUGGCAACACCAAGGUUUCGGAGUAACGAAGGUUUCUCAAAAAAGUCAGAAAAAGGCUGUCUAAANUAAAGGAUGUUAUAAAUUGUCGAGAGAGCGACAGUCCUUAGAUCAAUAUUCUAACAGUCAUGAAUCACAAACUUCUUAUCUGCCUGGUUCUCGUUUCUCUAAUGCAGGUCGCCGCGGGUUGCUGGAAUCUUAAAGACACAUUGGGACGCACUGACGAUGAACUACUGCUUCUAGAGAACGACGGUAAGAUUUUAUCUUUCAACUUUUUUACCGUGUAUAGCCCAUAGUCCUUUUGACUGCUUUUGAUUUUUUUAAUGAAGCCGAAGUUUUCCCCAGGUAUAAAAAUCAUAUAUAGU